UUUUGGUUAGUAGCUUUCAUAGGAAAUUUAAUUUCAUAUGUAAAUUAAAUUGCUUAUUUGGGGUUUUAUUUGAGAUUUUUUGAAGAAGAAGACUCAAUUUGGUUAGAUUACCCAAUUGGAAUUUCUGUUCACUGUUGAUUUUAACGAAAGAAGAAGAUCCAAUUUAAGUUGCAUAUUUGGAGUUUUGCUUAGGAUUUUCUGAUUCUAAUUAAAGAAGAAGAGUUGAUUUGAUUAGAUUGCUUGCUUUGGAUUUCUAAAAAGAACCAAUUGGUUUUUUAAUUUCUACAUAGAUUAACCAAUUUUUUUCCUUUAUUGAUGAGUUCUCUAUGAAAAUAUUGCUUUGUUGUUUGUUCAUAUUUGUUAUAGCUAUGUCGAAAUAGCAGCGACAGAUAUUAGGAAAAAGCAUGAGCACACACCGGGCUUCCAAAAUCACUUGGUAAAAAAAUCCUCUUUUUUCCUUACUUGUAUUUCUCAUGAAUGUAUUGUGUAUACAAAGAUCAUAAUCAAUUGGCUUAAUAUGAUGACGAUAGACGAAAACUAACGGACUUGGAUACUAUUUUUCCUCGUGGACAUAAUUCUACCAGCUACUGGUAUAUUUGAUGAUUGUUUUAUUUGUUUUGUUCUUACAUUAGUUUUGAAGUAUGAAAACUUGAUUAUGUUUACUUGAACUGUGCCUUUAUAAAAAGGUUGUCAGGAAUAUCCCCGAUUCAUUCACCAAUCCAGGUGACUAGAGCCGUCAAUAUGGGGCCAAGGCCCAUUGGGCCGGUCCGGCCCAACCUGUAAUUUAAUGGGGUGAGCUUUAAUUUCUGUAGCCCAUUUAAGAACAUGGCUUUUUAGUCCGACCCGGAUAAGCUCGUGGCCCGUAGGGCUUGAGGAAUAUGGGUUGGGCCAGCACGUGGGCCUAUUACUACUGUAGCAUCAGAAUCACCAUUCAGCAUUGGAGGGUGCGUUCUCACCAAAUAUAGAAGUUGUAUCCAUCAUGAAAAUGUCCAAACACUUGUUACCACUCGAAAUUGAUUGCACGGUUACUCUCAAAUUGAUAAUAGUUUUUGCAUACAUGUAAAUAUUAUUAGUUACGAAAUUUUAUUAUUUUUUAAUGUUUAAUUAAUUAAUAUGUAUAUAAAUUGUAGAUGAAAAUGAAGAUUACGAAACAGUUUUAUCAAAAGAUGAUUCAGAGAUGCUUGAUGAAGAAUAAAGUUGUGAUAUUAGAUACAUAAUGAGUGUCAUGAAAAUUUUUCUUGAGGAGUUCAUUUUUUUUUUGGGGAAAAAUUACACAAAUUCCAUAUUUAAAACACCACAUUGCACAAUAUCCCUUAAUAUUUUAAAAAUUACAUAAAAUUCCGGAUUUCAUAUUUACUAGUGAUACACAUCAUGACACUAGUGAUACACAUAGCAUAUGUAUCAUUAGUCCAUAUGUAUCACUGCUUAACAUAUGUAUCACCAAUUCAAAAUUCUGGGAUAAGAUGUAAUUAGCAAACUAUCCAAAAUUUUAUGUAAUUUUGUUGAAACUAUCCGGGAUUUAUGUAAGUUACUCUUUUUUUUUUUUUUGAGUGAAUGAAAUGUUGACAUUUUUUGUGGUUUAUUUAUAUUCAUGUCAAAAGUUAUUUAAUUUCGUUAUUAGAAUUAUUUUUGGGGUGUUGAAGAUUUGACUAACAAGCAUUAAUACUAUGUGUUACUGUGUGAUAAAUAUUUAUGUUUAUCAAUAGUGUAAAAUUAAAUUAUAAAAUAUUAUUUUUUAAAAAGUGGGCUGGCCCGUGAGGCCCACAGCCCACAGGGUAAUAGCGUGGGCUUGAUGUUUUUUGGCCCGUCAUUUAAAUGGGCCAACCUGGCUUGGCCCGUCAAACUCAAAGCCCAUAUGGGCUAACGCAAAUGGGUUGGGCCAACCCGUAUUGACAGCUCUACAGGUGACCCUAUUAGAGUGGAGCCAUAUAAGGUUACAAUGGACAAGGAGAUGGGCACAACGACUUGGUUACAUCUCCCACAUGAGGCAAUUUGGAGGUUAGUGGGCUGGAAAUUUCCUCUCCUUAAAUAAAUGAUGUCUGUUGUGGAUUUAAGGUUAUUUUGUUGGAAGUAUUUCUGUAAAGUCUAUCCUAAUGGCACAUUGGCGGACCUUAAUUGAAAUCUAAAUAUUUGGAGUUCUGGAUUUAUAGUUAGGGCUAUGAGAAGCUGCUAUGGACGAGCUUGACUAUAUAUUUUCAUGUGUAUUCAGUAUUGUACUGCAUGAUGCUCAAAACCUUUUAUACUAAUGAAAUGAAAUGGUAAAGUGUGGUCAUUCCCUGUAUAACGCUAAUGUUGCAAAACAUAAGGGUAAAGUUCAUGUGUUAGUAUUUCUUUUGCAUAAAAAUAAUAAGUUUUACUUACACCGUGGGAUGUGAUAAUAGCUAGAUAUAGAAGUAUGUUUAACCCCUUUUAUUUCACUGCUUUGGAGAGAAAUUGGCAGUAAUUUAAUCACCUUAGAUUUCCCUUUUCUGUCUAUUAGUCAGUAGCUUGAUAUAUUUUGAUCCCUUGGUCAGUUCUUGUUGAACUCAGAAGUUUCCAAAGCUGAAAGUAAUUGAUAAGGGUAUUUUUUUCAUUCUGUUCUACAAGUGAUACGUGUACCCACUACAAUUUCCUAGAAACAGGUGGCAAAGUCCGAUGUUCUCUAUCUCCGUUCCUAUGGUAUUUCUCUGUUCAACAAGAAGUAAAGCUAAGCUGCAAUUGUGUUGAUUACCCAAAGCACUUGAUUGGAAUUCGAUUUCUAUCAUAUACUAAUUUGGUCCUUCUAAUCGAUUUUGAUUGUUGCCGAUUUAGCUGAAUCAAUAAAGAUCGCACCUUUUUUUUUAAAUUAAAAUCAUUUAAUUUUUGUGAUUUAGGAUUUUUGAUAUAUGAUCUUGACUUUCGAAUCGGAAAAUGUUUAAUUGCCGAUUAAUCGACGAGCUGAUUGACGAUUCUGAAGAGGGCUUUGGAUUUUGUGUGGAAGCUCAGAGUCAGAAGCGAGCGGAGGCCACCUCAUCAGUGCCUUCUCACAGUUAUGUUCUCUUGAUGGGGUUGUUUUAGAAGCAUUAAGUAAUUGACAAAAAUUAUAUAGAAAGAAGAAGAAUUAUUGAAGAUUUUUGAUGCAUAUUCUUUUGCCAAUGUCCAUGGCUGACCCAGAUGGAAAAUAGGUUAAUAGGCUCGGGAGAAGAUUAUCCAUUUUAAAAUUCGAAGCGGUUUGGAGAGUUUGAGGGGAACAAAGAGGGUUCUGAAAGGAGUAAUAACAAUUGGUGACAAGCUAAGCAUUUUAUUUAUUUAAUGUAGGUUGUACUGAUUGCUUCAUGAAUUCGUUUAUAUGUGUGAGAAAUUGGUGAUGAUUAUUUGUCAACAUCUGUUUAGGUUUUCGUUUAUAUGUGUGAGAAAUUGGUGACGAUUAUUUGUCAACAUCUGUUUAGGUUUUGGUUUAACUAUUUCACUUUCCUAAAAAAUGAAACCUAACUCAUCAUUGGGUACUGAACAGACUUCAACUGACUGAUUUUGUAGUUAUACUUGGGAGAUUUACAUCAAAUAGGCAAAAUUUUUGUUCGUGUUAUAAGCUAUCAUUAGGUAUCAAAACAAAUUGAAUACAAACUUUACCAAGUCAAGCUACUAGAAUUCCAGUUGCAGGGCAAAGCUAAAAGCUAAAUACAAGCUUUAAUUUUCUUAUUCUUAUUACUCCUAUUACAUAAGUGAAGAUAAUGUCUACAAAUGUUUCU
Molecule: long non-coding RNA, 3707 nt
Organism: Capsicum annuum
Lineage: Eukaryota; Viridiplantae; Streptophyta; Magnoliopsida; Solanales; Solanaceae
Exons: 2
Source: RefSeq, a predicted model, not a curated record